UGGUUUCCUCCAACAUUGUAGCAGAACACGAAACCUUGCCGGCCAAGGCUUGGAAUAUGCCUAAACCCAGCAUGAGAUAAGGUCACCGCCAAGAUGCAUGCAGACAUGGGGAUCGGAACGGAGAGGAGGGCAGUUGGCACGGCGACGGCCGUGUGAUCGAUCAAGUGCCCAAUCACUGGCUUGUCCUUGUCCUCUUCUUCCCUGCGCUGCUUUACUUGCUGAAUGCUGAUGCAGGCAGGAUCGCAUGCAAGAAGCCAAGAACAGGAGGAGAAGAAAGCUCCUCGUCGGUCGGUCGCUGCUGCAUGAUGGUCUCUCCGGC
This is a long non-coding RNA of Panicum hallii, 319 nucleotides long. RefSeq lists it as uncharacterized. NCBI's taxonomy places the organism in Eukaryota, Viridiplantae, Streptophyta, Magnoliopsida, Poales, Poaceae. The transcript has 3 exons. The record is from RefSeq and is a predicted model, not a curated record.